Molecule: ribosomal RNA, 447 nt
Filed under: uncultured bacterium
Lineage: Bacteria
Description: bacterial SSU rRNA
Rfam family: Bacterial small subunit ribosomal RNA
Source: RNAcentral
GACCAGACUCCUACGGGAGGCAGCAGUGGGGGAUAUUGCACAAUGGGGGAAACCCUGAUGCAGCGACGCCGCGUGUGGGAAGACGGUCCUCUGGAUUGUAAACCACUGUCCCCAGGGACGAAGAUGACGGUACCUGGGGAGGAAGCUCCGGCUAACUACGUGCCAGCAGCCGCGGUAAUACGUAGGGAGCGAGCGUUGUCCGGAAUCAUUGGGCGUAAAGAGUUCGUAGGCGGCAUGUAAAGCCAGGUGUUAAAGGCGCAGACUCAACCUGUGUAUGGCACUUGAUACUUGCAAGCUGGAAUGCGGUAGAGGUAAAGGGAAUUCCUGGUGUAGCGGUGAAAUGCUUAGAUAUCAGGAGGAACAUCGGUGGCGUAAGCGCUUUACUGGGCCGUAAUUGACGCUGAGGAACGAAAGCCAGGGUAGCAAAUGGGAUUAGAUACCCCGGUA